GACGAACGCUGGCGGCGUGCUUAACACAUGCAAGUCGAGCGGUAAGGCCCUUCGGGGUACACGAGCGGCGAACGGGUGAGUAACACGUGGGUGACCUGCCUCUAGCUCUGGGAUAAGCCUGGGAAACUGGGUCUAAUACCGGAUAUGACUCCACGGCGCAUGUUGUGGGGUGAAAGCCUUGUGUGGCUAGAGAUGGGCCCGCGGCCUAUCAGCUUGUUGGUGGGGUGANGGCCUACCAAGGCGACGACGGGUAGCCGGCCUGAGAGGCGACCGGCCACACUGGGACUGAGACACGGCCCAGACUCCUACGGGAGGCAGCAGUGGGGAAUCUUGCGCAAUGGGCGAAAGCCUGACGCAGCGACGCCGCGUGAGGG
This 374-nucleotide ribosomal RNA is filed under the name uncultured bacterium. RNAcentral describes it as "bacterial SSU rRNA". It matches the Rfam family "Bacterial small subunit ribosomal RNA", at positions 28 to 407 of the family's 1533-position model. The record is from RNAcentral.